Vulpes vulpes (red fox) is the source of this 147-nucleotide small nucleolar RNA. NCBI's taxonomy places the organism in Eukaryota, Metazoa, Chordata, Mammalia, Carnivora, Canidae. The record is from Ensembl.
ACUACACAUUGUUAGAGGUUGGAGUUGAGGGUACUGGCUAGCUGAUGAACUCAGUGUAGGUAUUGUGCUACAUGAGAGGCAAGACUUUAAUACCACAGGAGUCUCUGGCCCAAUGAGUGGAGUUUGAUGGUAAUUCUUGCUACAAGU